RNAcentral lists this unclassified non-coding RNA (162 nucleotides) under uncultured Ascomycota. Its description in RNAcentral is "sequence contains ITS1". The record is from RNAcentral. Lineage: Eukaryota; Fungi; Ascomycota.
CCGAGUUUCUAACUCCAUACCUUUGUGAACAUACCUAUCGUUGCUUCGGCGGGUUCGUCCCGGGGCUCGCAGUGCACGGCCUGCCCCGGAACCAGACGUCCGCCGAGGACCCCAAACUCUGUUUUUAUAGUGGAUCUUCUGAGUCAAAAACAAAAUAAAUUA